RNAcentral lists this long non-coding RNA (1607 nucleotides) under Carica papaya (papaya). RNAcentral describes it as "long non-coding RNA (CPAP_LNC012840)". Lineage: Eukaryota; Viridiplantae; Streptophyta; Magnoliopsida; Brassicales; Caricaceae. The record is from RNAcentral.
AAUGUAAAUCUUGAACAUUUAUUACGCUUCUGCAUUUAAGUUAUAAUUUAUUUCCUUUACAUAUUUCCGAAGUUGUUACAAGGAAUGCAGGUCAGAUCGCACCAGAAUAGGGUUCCACCAUCCCUAUUUUCAAAGCUCCUUCCAUCGGCGUUGUAGCCAGACCUUGUUCGCCUACCCUCAAUGCAAGGUAGUCAGCCCUAGAUCGGGUCGCAUCGUUCCACCUUAGGUGGCUCGUUUCCUGGUCGAGUAACCCCUCUUCUAUUUCCAUCUCUCCUUCCGCUAUCCCUUCCUCCAUUCUCUGUUAUUCAUCAGAAAAUGGAGAGUGAUUCUCCUCCGGCCUUAUCAUAACCUUCUUCAUGGAUCGAUUGGCUUCCAGGCAAGGCGGUGCCUCCUCUUUCUCCGUUAAGGCGAUGUUGAGAUAAAGUAGCAUUAGGGUUUCAACGGUUUAGGGUUCGGUUAAGAGAAUAAGAUAAUAGGUUCUGAAGUGAUUAUUUUUCAAUUUCUUAGCUACACAUCACCACCUUACCCUCAAAUACCUAACACACAACUCUUUCCGAAAUAUAUGUUUUAACAAUAUUAUUCCAUGCAUAUGAGUAUUCUUUUCUCUUCGGCAAUCUUACAUCUCUUCUUUGUCCCAGUUUGCCCUAUUGAAAGAACAAAGACUUCUUCUCUGGGAAAGGAGAAAAACAACCAAGACAAAGUUAGAGAAAUUUUCAAAAUAACUGAGAUCAAGCUUAAAAACAUAUCUAGAAUAAUUCAUUAGACCCUCUGCAAGGAAACCUUUUAAUCUCAAAGCCUUCAACCUCUCUUUCCUACCAUCCAUGACAAUAUGAUGUUAUUCUUCUCUCCCAACACCUCCUCUAACUUCUCCAUCAAAUCCAACAAUCAACUCACCAAAAUCCCUGAUCUCAUUUACCCUUUUUUUCUUAUAAACGUAUGAUGAAGGUGUUAAUUUUACUUGGCGAAGCUCAAAUAAAUACGAAUAUCUCAGAUUUCCAAAUGAAUUUGUUGUCGAAUAGUUUGAUCUCAUAUAAGCUUUUAGACUGAGUAGUGCUUUUUGGUAAAGACCCUUCAGAAUUGGCUUCAUAAGAGGUGAGUGUUUCAAACCCUAACAUAAUCAAUCAGCCAGAAUUUUUCUAUUGAAUUAAUCUAUCCAAACAAAAAAUCUCUUGGGCGUUUUCAUCUUCCCCAUCCCUAUGUUAAUUCCAUGAGCCGAGUUUAAUGGAGCUCGAUGUGUCCUACUUUGUCAAUUAAGUAAUCAAACUUGUGAUUAUCACGGAAUGAAGUUGCCUCCAAACCUCUCCAGGAUCUCUACUUCUCAGAAGGCGAAAAUUUACCCUUUUGAACUGUAACUCUCCAGGAAACACAUUUCUUCUUCUCCACAGUCAGCUCCAUGCGGCAUGAGGGAGACGUUGGCAAACCAUACUACUGUUCUGCGGCCAUCUAAACGACACAGUGUUAUCGUGAGGAGUCAGCUAGCUUGUCUGGACUGUUUUGAGGGAAUGAGUGGGUGAAUAAUCAAUAAUUUUUGCUUAUGCGCGCAGAUAAAAUACAAGGGGAAGAUGUAAGGGUAUUAUAGGAAUUUCAAGAGUUUCUAGUACUUUUUG